GACAGAGGGUGCAAACGUUGUUCGGAUUUACUGGGCAUAAAGCGUGUGUAGGCGGCUUCGCAAGUUGGAUGUGAAAUCCCACGGCUCAACCGUGGACGUGCAUCCAAAACUGCGUCGCUAGAGUCUCGGAGAGGAAGGUGGAAUGCUUGGUGUAGAGGUGAAAUUCGUAGAUAUCAAGCAGAACACCUGCGGCGAAGGCGGCCUUCUGGACGAUGACUGACGCUGAGACACGAAAGCGUGGGGAGCAAACAGG
Molecule: ribosomal RNA, 253 nt
Filed under: uncultured bacterium
Lineage: Bacteria
Description: partial 16S ribosomal RNA
Rfam family: Bacterial small subunit ribosomal RNA
Source: RNAcentral